Molecule: long non-coding RNA, 1156 nt
Filed under: Malus domestica (apple)
Lineage: Eukaryota; Viridiplantae; Streptophyta; Magnoliopsida; Rosales; Rosaceae
Description: long non-coding RNA (MDOM_LNC003122)
Source: RNAcentral
UGUAUGUUGGGAAAUUCGGCCAAAUCCAAAGGGUGGAUUUUUGGGUUCAUGUUUGUCUUGUUAAAAAGGUUUUAAAGUGACUUUUGGAACCCCUAAGUACCCUAGGAUAUUAACCCUCUUUUGAGUGGUGAAAAUUUGAGUUUUAUUGAGUGAAAACAUUCAUGGAGCUAUUAUGAGUUUUCAUGAGUGUUCUUCAAUGUUCUUGAAGUUCUUGCCAAGAACAAAAAGUUUUGAUUUUUUGAUUCAAAAGUUUAAUGUUUUUCAUAAAGUUUUGGUUUAUUUUGUUGGGUGAUGGUUAUAGGUGAAGGAUGUUUAAUGCAUUUAAUGUUAGACAAAUUUUUUUCAAUGUUUGACAAAACUUUAUCUUACAACCCAUCCAAAUCACCUUUAUCUCACCUAACAAAUCAACUUGCAAAAACUUUUUAGAAAAUUUUUCACUUCUUCACUAAAAGCCGGCCACCCUAUAGAAUAUGGUAUUUUUGGGUCUUUUGUGCAAUUACAUAAAGUUUUGAUACUUUUGUGUUUUUGUAUUUUGGCCCAAAAGUUUACGUUUUUAUGUUAAGGCCCAAAAACUCUAAAGGACAAAUUGUUUUGUUCCUUUAUUGAUGUUUUUGUUAUUGUUAAAAAAUUUUGGGUUCUAGUUGUAAUUACAUGAAGUUGUGGACUUUUGUGUUUUUACAAAGUGACCCCAAAAGUUUAUGUUUAUUAAAUAAUGGCCCAAUUGUUGAGGUCAUUGUUUUUGGCCCAAAUAAGAUGAGAACAAAAUGGUUUUGUCUCUUUAAUGAGAAUUGGAUUUUCAUUUCAAUAGUUCAAUUUAAAUCAAUUCUAUGAAUCCGAAAACCAAUUGUUUAAGUUGCUUUCUUAGUUAAUGUGAUUGAUUAAGAAAAUGGUGAUUAUGAACCAAAGGCCUUGAUAAUUGAGCUAUGUGAUUGGCCGCUUUACAUUAUGAAUGUUUGGGUUAAGUAGUUUAGAUUUGAUUGUAAUUUGAUUAGUUCAAUUUGUUGUAAAUGGACAUAAGUCCAUCAAAUGUGUUGUAAAAGGGCAUAAGCCCUUCUCUUUAUUUCAAGUAUUCCUUUUUGUUUAUAUGUAUGCAAAUUGGAAUAGUUGGGUCCAACGCCCAAUAGGAAAUAACGGUUUAAUUAGAUUAAACGCGUAA